GUAUUUAUAUCGCGUAAAAAUCAAGUAGGAAAAGAGUUUCAACGAAAACAAAAAACUGCAACGGAGGCCCCCGAAUUAUCACUAUGCGACCGCAUAGAAGGAUUCUAUGCGGUCGCAUAGACCAAUAAAUUUUCCCCCAACAUUUCCUGCAACCAUCUAUUCGACCGCAUAGAUGGUUACACUAUGCGGUCGCAUAGAUAUAACCAACUAUGUAGUCCUUACAUUUAGGUCCCUGAACUUUCUUGUUGCUUCUCUUUACUUCUUUCUUCAAUUUCUUCACCUUUUCAACAAAUGUUAUCCUCCAAUUGAUGAUUGACACCAUCGAAUCUCUUGCCACUCAUUCGGCUCAUCUUUUGAGUAUUUGCGCUUUAGUCCUCCAACUUUUAACUGUCUUCAUUUCAGUCCCUCUUCGAUUCUUUCUUCCUCCACUUGUUUUCCUUUGUCCUUGAGCUCAUACUCGGCAUGUUUUUACUCUCGUUUUGCAUUUAGCUCAACUUCUCAAUAUUUGCACCUUUGGUCCUCGAACUAUCAAUUUGUUGCGUUUUGGUCCUUCUUCGGCUCUUUUCUCCUGAAUUCCACAAUUUCCAUUGAAUUACCUACAAUGCAUGAAUUUAACUAGAUUAAGUCAC
This 629-nucleotide long non-coding RNA is filed under the name Olea europaea (common olive). Its description in RNAcentral is "long non-coding RNA (OEUR_LNC008799)". The record is from RNAcentral. Lineage: Eukaryota; Viridiplantae; Streptophyta; Magnoliopsida; Lamiales; Oleaceae.